CCCGGCGGAGCGGCCGCGGGACGGCGGCACAAAGCGCGGGGGCGGCGCGCUGCCCGGCGGGAGGGUGGUGCGCUUAGGCCUCGGUAGGCCGCAGGGCCGGCACCUAGAGAGGGGGGCGCGAGCGCUGUGAGAAGGCAGAGCUACGCACGUACGGCUCCGUCAGAGAGCCAGGCCGUUAGAAGCACGGUGCUUUACGCGGCCUUUAGGGAGACAAAACCUUUAAACGUAAGGAAUGACGCCUUGUGACAGGUCAAAGUCUCAUUUGAACAACAUCAUUCAAGAAUUUCAGAGCAGGAAGUGGAGGAUCCAGUCUCCAGCUGAAAACGCAGGAGGAAUUUAGGUCGCCGGGUUGGAAUUUGCUCACAGGCUUGGUAACAGCCUUCGCUCUGUGCGCAGCGUUUAUCUGCUGGACCUCACCGUGACAAAGACCAAAAUAUGGCUGGUCAUGGUCAUAGAAUCGUAUCAGAGAAUCAUAGAAUGGCCUGGGUUGAGAAGGACCACAAUGAUCAUGUAGUUUCAACCCCCUUGCUACGUGUAGGGUUGCCAACCACUAUACCAGGCUGCCCAGAGCCACAUCCAGCCUGGCCUUGAAUGCCUCCGGGGAUGGGGAGGGAGUGUCUGCUGUAAAAAGCCAGAGCUCAAAGCUAGCAGUGAUACGUCCUGUUAUUUCCUCUUUUAACAAAGUGAGGGUUAGCUGGGUUUUGCUAAUCGCUGGGAUUAUUUGGGAAGGAAACCUGAAGUACGUCUUUGCAUUAACCCCUCUGACAAAACGGUGCAGCUCCUUCACUGCUGUCCAAAUGCAACAGUUUGCAUGCUGAAAGAGGGGUUGUGUGUGCAUUUUACUCACCAACAAUACAGACAAGCCACAACUGGUGAAAAUCUGUGUCAGUGUAAGCUUAUUGUGUUCAGUUUAGAAAUAUGUGUAAUCACAGAAAUAGCAGCCUUUUCAUCUCAGCGAUUUUCAUGCCUACGAGCGUAUUCUUGUGGCCUCCUUGCUCCUUUUCUUUGCUCCUUGCUAAUUACUUUGGGCUUUCCUUCCUAUUUCCAAUUUAUCCAUUGCGCUCUCCUGGGAAAUGCUUAAAAUCAUUGCGCCUGUAAUACUUGUGAUGUUCCUUGCCUCAGUGCUCUCCCUGCAGCUCCUGACUGAUGACUGACAGCGGUAUGGCUGCACCUCCAGUGGUUUCAGUUGUAUGUUGUUUGACACGUCUCAGUCCUUAAAAAAUAAAUCGCUCUGGUUUCCGAUGCUCCUUUCUUUUUAUUGUGUUAAGUAGCUCCCUUUUAGUGACACACCAAGUACUAUGUGCCUUCUCACUGUUAUGGCUUUUUUGGCAGAGCCGAAUGACACGUCAGUGGAAUUUUAUAAUGUGGGCAAUUGUCCACCAAGAAAUUGACUGUCUGUUCACAUAAAACUCAACAAAAAGAACAGAAGCAAUACUGGUGCAACUUGUAGCAAGUACUCCCUCUCGAAAGGCUCUUUCAGCCAAGAGGAGGAGUGGAAGCUUUGUUUAAUUGAAACCUUAGGUUUGGAACAAACUGAGUACUAAUUGCUCCUCAGCUUCCCGGGACCUUGGUGAAAUUUUUCUUCUUUUAGAUUCCACUUCUUGUACAAUUUGCGGAAACUGCAAUACUUCAUAUAACGAGAUAGAAAUGGUGUGUUUGAUGGGGGGAACAGAACUACGCAUGACUAUUACUUCGUGUUUAUUCUCUUACUUUUGUAUUUGACCUCCAUUCUGUUGUAAAAUUGUAUUCUGAAGCAUGUUGACAGAGCAGUAUUUGCUUGUAGCCGUGCUAAUCAAAGGUCACGGGUAGGCUGAAGUAGACAGCUAUUUAUGGCACCAAAUAAAAGAAGAUAUUGGGACGGCGAUGGCACUUUGUGUCUGCUAAAUGAGGCCUCCUGGCCUCUGGCUCGCAAGCCAGAAUGCCCACCUAGCACUGCUCACACCACUCCAAAGGGAUCGCCUCAGCUCAGCUUAUAUGGCGCUGUUUGGUCUCUGGAAAGUAUUCUCACUUUUUUUUUUUCCCUCCUGGUGCUGCAAAUGUAUGUUACCACUUUAUCUCUGUGGAGCAACUAUGGAAACAAAAAGAUAUGCGUGAGAGGAAACUGCUGAUUAAAGAGUAUCCAUGGCAUGAAGGCAGAAGUUAGUAGGCACGCACUAAACUCCCCAAUUGUUCUCAGAUAGGUGUCCACGCAGAGAACUAUGACAGAAAAAAUGUAUUUUUCGGUAGUCAUUCUGCUUGCUUUCCCUUUGUGCACAACCUUUGCUAUGAUUAGAAAUGCUUUCACAACAUUCUUAGGGGAAAUGUGGGGAACUAAAAUGUUUCCCUGCAGGCUUUCCAGCUCUGCUAUUGCAGCCAGCCUUAUCAAAUAAAAAGUGAAACUAGUCACAAGCAAGCUGGUGGUGUUAAUCAUUAGCUAACCCAAAGAAAUUUAAAAGAAAGCCGAGAAGGACUGAGUCAGAAUGUAGAAAAUCUCUGUGCUAAUAGUUGCAUUUGUUCCCAGUUCUUAAACUCUAAUUAACGCUGUGCUGCUUCACAGACAAAACACACAGAAUUGCUCAAGCAUAUCUUAUGCUAGGAGCAGAAAAGAACAAUAACAU
Molecule: long non-coding RNA, 2597 nt
Organism: Gallus gallus (chicken)
Lineage: Eukaryota; Metazoa; Chordata; Aves; Galliformes; Phasianidae
Source: Ensembl